RNAcentral lists this ribosomal RNA (256 nucleotides) under uncultured bacterium. RNAcentral's name for it is "partial 16S ribosomal RNA". It matches the Rfam family "Bacterial small subunit ribosomal RNA", at positions 524 to 776 of the family's 1533-position model. The record is from RNAcentral.
UACGUAGGGGGGCUAGCGUUGUCCGGAAUCAUUGGGCGUAAAGAGCGUGUAGGCGGUCCGGUAAGUCCGCUGUGAAAGUCGGGGGGCUCAACCCUCGAAUGCCGGUGGAUACUGUCGGGCUAGAGUGCGGAAGAGGCGAGUGGAAUUCCUGGUGUAGCGGUGGAAUGCGCAGAUAUCAGGAGGAACACCAAUGGCGAAGGCAGCUCGCUGGAACGGUACUGACGCUGAGGCGCGAAAGCGUGGGGGAGCGAACAGG